GGGAGUGUCGCGUAGCGGCAAUCGCAGCGGACUGUAAAUCCGCCGUCUUCGGGCAUCGUGGGUUCGAGUCCCACCGCUCCCA
RNAcentral lists this transfer RNA (82 nucleotides) under Microbacterium hominis. Its description in RNAcentral is "tRNA-Tyr". It matches the Rfam family "tRNA". Rfam says of the family: Transfer RNA (tRNA) molecules are approximately 80 nucleotides in length. Their secondary structure includes four short double-helical elements and three loops (D, anti-codon, and T loops). Further hydrogen bonds mediate the characteristic L-shaped molecular structure. tRNAs have two regions of fundamental functional importance: the anti-codon, which is responsible for specific mRNA codon recognition, and the 3' end, to which the tRNAs corresponding amino acid is attached (by aminoacyl-tRNA synthetases). tRNAs cope with the degeneracy of the genetic code in two manners: having more than one tRNA (with a specific anti-codon) for a particular amino acid; and 'wobble' base-pairing, i.e. permitting non-standard base-pairing at the 3rd anti-codon position. Lineage: Bacteria; Bacillati; Actinomycetota; Actinomycetes; Micrococcales; Microbacteriaceae. RNAcentral also lists the same sequence under 1 other name. The record is from RNAcentral.